Oncorhynchus tshawytscha (Chinook salmon) is the source of this 954-nucleotide long non-coding RNA. RefSeq lists it as uncharacterized. The transcript has 2 exons. Lineage: Eukaryota; Metazoa; Chordata; Actinopteri; Salmoniformes; Salmonidae. The record is from RefSeq and is a predicted model, not a curated record.
CCUAUACAGUGCACUACUUUAGACCAGGCCCCUAUAGAACCCUAUUCCCUAUACAGUGCACUACUUUUGUGCCAUUUGGGAUACAGGCCAUAUCAUGUGCUGGCUGUCGGGUGAGUUGGUUUGUGUUGGAGGCUGUUGAGGCUAAAGGUUGUGGAGGCUGUUGAGGCUGGGGGCCAGCCUGGACCUGAUUGUGUGUGUUGUAUAUCCUGUAGUCUGUUCAUUGUCUUACGUCAGAGAGCACACCGAUUCCACCUGCAACCAUCGGAUGAGGGACGAGCCUCGCGUAGAAGUGACGCCACCUGACGUAAGACAAUGGUACAACUCUGACGCAGCUGACCAUAGGUCAGGGCCCGGUUAGUUACGGUGAGGCAGAGCAGACCAUAGGUCAGAGCCCGGUUAGUUACAGUAACUCAGAGCAGACCAUAGGUCAGGACCCGGUUAGUUACUGUAACUCAGAGCAGACCAUAGGUCAGGACCCGGUUAGUUACAGUAACUCAGAGCAGACCAUAGGUCAGGACCCGGUUAGUUAUGGUAAGGCAGAGCAGACCAUAGGUCAGGACCGGUUAGUUACGGUAAGGCAGAGCAGACCAUAGGUCAGGAUCCGGUUAGUUACGGUAACUCAGAGCAGACCAUAGGUCAGGAUCCGGUUAGUUACGGUAACUCAGAGCAGACCAUAGGUCAGGACCCGGUUAGUUACGGUAACUCAGAGCAGACCAUAGGUCAGGAACCGGUUAGUUACGGUAACUCAGAGCAGACCAUAGGUCAGAGCCCGGUUAGUUACAGUAACUCAGAGCAGACCAUAGGUCAGAGCCCGGUUAGUUACGGUAACUCAGAGCAGACCAUAGGUCAGGACCCGGUUACUUACGGUAACUCAGAGAUGGCUCUCCAUUCACACUGUAUAGAGAUCUAGCAUGUCUGUCCUAAACAAUCAAUAAAGAUGUCUUACUAUCAAAA